UUGAACGCUGGCGGCAGGCCUAACACAUGCAAGUCGAGCGGAUGAGUGGAGCUUGCUCCAUGAUUCAGCGGCGGACGGGUGAGUAAUGCCUAGGAAUCUGCCUGGUAGUGGGGGACAACGUUUCGAAAGGAACGCUAAUACCGCAUACGUCCUACGGGAGAAAGUGGGGGAUCUUCGGACCUCACGCUAUCAGAUGAGCCUAGGUCGGAUUAGCUAGUUGGUGAGGUAAAGGCUCACCAAGGCGACGAUCCGUAACUGGUCUGAGAGGAUGAUCAGUCACACUGGAACUGAGACACGGUCCAGACUCCUACGGGAGGCAGCAGUGGGGAAUAUUGGACAAUGGGCGAAAGCCUGAUCCAGCCAUGCCGCGUGUGUGAAGAAGGUCUUCGGAUUGUAAAGCACUUUAAGUUGGGAGGAAGGGCAGUAAGUUAAUACCUUGCUGUUUUGACGUUACCAACAGAAUAAGCACCGGCUAACUUCGUG
RNAcentral lists this ribosomal RNA (483 nucleotides) under uncultured bacterium. RNAcentral describes it as "partial 16S ribosomal RNA". It matches the Rfam family "Bacterial small subunit ribosomal RNA", at positions 30 to 507 of the family's 1533-position model. The record is from RNAcentral.